CGAAUGCUGACAUAAGUAACGAUAAAGCGGGUGAAAAGCCCGCUCGCCGGAAGACCAAGGGUUCCUGUCCAACGUUAAUCGGGGCAGGGUGAGUCGACCCCUAAGGCGAGGCCGAAAGGCGUAGUCGAUGGGAAACAGGUUAAUAUUCCUGUACUUGGUGUUACUGCGAAGGGGGGACGGAGAAGGCUAUGUUGGCCGGGCGACGGUUGUCCCGGUUUAAGCGUGUAGGCUGGUUUUCCAGGCAAAUCCGGAAAAUCAAGGCUGAGGCGUGAUGACGAGGCACUACGGUGCUGAAGCAACAAAUGCCCUGCUUCCAGGAAAAGCCUCUAAGCAUCAGGUAACAUCAAAUCGUACCCCAAACCGACACAGGUGGUCAGGUAGAGAAUACCAAGGCGCUUGAGAGAACUCGGGUGAAGGAACUAGGCAAAAUGGUGCCGUAACUUCGGGAGAAGGCACGCUGAUAUGUAGGUGAAGUCCCUCGCGGAUGGAGCUGAAAUCAGUCGAAGAUACCAGCUGGCUGCAACUGUUUAUUAAAAACACAGCACUGUGCAAACACGAAAGUGGACGUAUACGGUGUGACGCCUGCCCGGUGCCGGAAGGUUAAUUG
Molecule: ribosomal RNA, 607 nt
Filed under: Escherichia coli
Lineage: Bacteria; Pseudomonadati; Pseudomonadota; Gammaproteobacteria; Enterobacterales; Enterobacteriaceae
Description: partial 23S ribosomal RNA
Rfam family: Bacterial large subunit ribosomal RNA
Source: RNAcentral